This 497-nucleotide ribosomal RNA is filed under the name uncultured bacterium. RNAcentral's name for it is "partial 16S ribosomal RNA". It matches the Rfam family "Bacterial small subunit ribosomal RNA", at positions 28 to 508 of the family's 1533-position model. The record is from RNAcentral.
GACGAACGCUGGCGGCGUGCCUAAUACAUGCAAGUAGAACGCUGAAGAGAGGAGCUUCCUCUUCUUGGAUGAGUUGCGAACGGGUGAGUAACGCGUAGGUAACCUGCCUUGUAGCGGGGGAUAACUAUUGGAAACGAUAGCUAAUACCGCAUAACAAUGGAUGACACAUGUCAUUUAUUUGAAAGGGGCAAUUGCUCCACUACAAGAUGGACCUGCGUUGUAUUAGCUAGUAGGUGAGGUAAUGGCUCACCUAGGCGACGAUACAUAGCCGACCUGAGAGGGGGAUGGGCCACACGGGGACUGAGACACGGCCCGGACUCAUACGGGAGGCAGAAGUGGGGAGUGUUGGGCAAUGGGGGAAACACGGACAGGGAAAGGCCGCGGGAGUGAAGAGGUUUGUCGGAGCGAAAAGCUCGGUUGUAAGUCAAGAACGGGUGUGGGAGUGGAAAGUUCACACUGGGAGGGUGGCUAACAAGAAGGGGAGGCCAAAUUACUGC